Long non-coding RNA from Quercus robur (English oak), 966 nucleotides. RefSeq lists it as uncharacterized. Lineage: Eukaryota; Viridiplantae; Streptophyta; Magnoliopsida; Fagales; Fagaceae. The transcript is spliced from 3 exons. The record is from RefSeq and is a predicted model, not a curated record.
CCCAGCGUUGAUUUCCUCUGCCUUUUGCUCUCUCCCAUUCACAGUCACUGCUCCUAUUUUUCAUUACCCAAAUCACUUUUCACUCGCAUUCAUCUCUCACAAUCAAAUUGUUUUCUUCUUCACUAAUUUAUGUAUGUUCCUUUUUUCUUCAGUUCUAUACAUAUUGUGCUUCAAAUUUUAUCUCUAUAUUUCCUAUGGCUUCCAUGAAAACUCAAAGGAGGGUCUAUGUCAUCACCAUCACCUUCUUCUUCUUCUUCUUCUUCAACACCUCAGUCUCAGUGGAAAUAAAAGGUGUUUCUCAGUUUUAGAAAAAUCGUUUGUUAAACCCAAAAAAUGUGGAGAGCUGCUUUGAGAGAAGUGGCCAAUCUCUCUGAUGAUAACAAUUAACAAGUCAGCAGAAGAUGACACUCGUGUUUUGUUUAUACUUUGUCUAGCUGCUAAAUGGGAAGGAUUUUCAUAGGAGGAUUUCAGUUGAGGCUAUGGCUACUGGAUGUGCAUAAGCAUUUCUGUCAGUCUGACUGAUAUGUUGUAUUGAAUUUAUAUAUGGUUUUGGCUAUAAUGAUUUGGAAAUGUAUUCAAGUGACAUAUCCUUGUAUCUUGUUUCAUAAAGACAGUAGAGCCAGGAUCUUUUCUUUCAUCUUCUUCUUUUUAUUUUUUAUUUUUAUAUGGUUUCAGUUAUGACGAUUUUCAUAGGAUGAACCGAUGAUGUUCAUAAUUGUUAUUGGAUAGCCUACAAGGCACAAGCUAUACUUUCAGAGGAAUCAGCUGGAAACAUACAGGGAGAAUAUGUCAAUCUUGGAGCAUAUUAUCUGGUUGAGAGUCCAGUAGGUGCCGCUUUGGUCUUUCUUGUAUGCCCAAAGUCCUUUGGAUUGGAUUUAGAGAGAGGGCCUAUUGUAAAAGCAUUUCUAGUUGCUCGUGGAACAAGUUUCACAAAUUGGCGAAAGACGAUUAUUAGUACCAAAAAAA